This 72-nucleotide transfer RNA is filed under the name Camelus ferus (Wild Bactrian camel). It matches the Rfam family "tRNA". From Rfam's summary of the family: Transfer RNA (tRNA) molecules are approximately 80 nucleotides in length. Their secondary structure includes four short double-helical elements and three loops (D, anti-codon, and T loops). Further hydrogen bonds mediate the characteristic L-shaped molecular structure. tRNAs have two regions of fundamental functional importance: the anti-codon, which is responsible for specific mRNA codon recognition, and the 3' end, to which the tRNAs corresponding amino acid is attached (by aminoacyl-tRNA synthetases). tRNAs cope with the degeneracy of the genetic code in two manners: having more than one tRNA (with a specific anti-codon) for a particular amino acid; and 'wobble' base-pairing, i.e. permitting non-standard base-pairing at the 3rd anti-codon position. Lineage: Eukaryota; Metazoa; Chordata; Mammalia; Artiodactyla; Camelidae. The record is from Rfam by way of RNAcentral.
GAGGGUAUAUCUCAGUGGAAGAGCACGUGCUUAGCAUGCAGGAGGUCCUGGGUUCAAUCCCCAGUACCUCCA